CUAUCCCAGACCCUCAAAUGUUAAGGGACCCAAAUCUUCACUCUCUAAAUUCAGUCUCUUAUUGCUACUCUCCUCAGCACUGAGUUCUGUCCAUAACACAACUUAAAGAGUAAGAGUCAUGGACUUCAUGUGAGGAAAUAAUGGAGGAUUUCAGAAUUUAGAAUUUUGCAAGUGAAAAUACUCCUCCCUGGUCAUAUGGUCUUGCUGUGUACACACACCAGAGGUGCUUCUGAUCUGUUAUUCAAAUGAAUUCUCAAUGAAAAAAUAUGCAUGUGUAGCGAAGAGGAGAAAAAAUACCAUAAAUGCUCCUAUACUGGAACAGAAAAAUAUGGAGUCAUAGAAUGAUGACAAAAAUAGAUUAAUUUUUUUAUGUAGUGCACUGCGGUUAAUCCUUGUGCUCACAGUAUACUUUAUUUAGAACCACUGCAGAAUUCGUCCUCUGAUUUUUCUCCCUGAAAUUAGACUGUAGUGAUAUGCUUCAGACUUCAGAGGAGCCUAAAGGACUGUGGAGAUGAGCAGCUGCAUGGUACCUAAUGUGUCUGGGGUGAAACCACAACAGAACUAUGAAUAAUUCACCCUCAAGCUGCCAGCCAGAUCCACCUGAGCCACUUCAACCCUAGCAGCCUGAUCCACCUUCUGGAUCUUGUUUUGUUCUCCAGUAUCCUGGGUUAACCCACAACAAUGCUAUCCAGGUACAAGAAGAAGAUGUAUUAUCAUGCAACCAAGCCACUGACUAUAACAACUACUAAAUAAUAGAAAAGAGAAAGAGAUCCUGUGUCAAGUACUGUUUACCUGAGAAGUGCACUUACUGAGAUCUUAAAACAGUAUGUCCUGAGUUACCACAUCAGUCAGAAGUGUACCUUCCUUUUUCUGUACUGGCAUCUCUAAGUGACAAAAUCUAGUAUUUGGACACAUGGUGAGUUCCCUGCAGGAAAGCCACUGAGCAGAACACAUACAACUCAAGUGGAAGAUUGCUGUGCUCCAGUUUUCUGUCACCUCUACACAUUGGAUGCAGGAUUCCCUCUGUGUGUACCACAGGCACCUUCCAACCCCACUUCACACUCUUUUCAUCCACCUUCUGGCUACCGCAGAAAUGCAUGAAACCUGUAUCCAAAAAUCAUGCCAUUGUGAUGACUUCUGGAUUCCAAGAUAAGCACAUACAACUUUCCUGAACUUGGUACCUUUUGGUUAUUUUCAAGGUAAAGAUCAUACAGAUAUAUAUCCUAGAGGAAUUAUUUUCCAAGCACAAUCACA
Non-coding RNA from Cyanistes caeruleus (blue tit), 1254 nucleotides. The record is from RefSeq and is a predicted model, not a curated record. Lineage: Eukaryota; Metazoa; Chordata; Aves; Passeriformes; Paridae.